CCUGAAAUCCCCUCAGGUGUUGCCUCGACGGGUAAUGUGACUGAGGGUGAUUUUUUGUGUGCUUGCCUUCUCUUUCCUGUGUCUUUCAAAUUGUAAUGAGAAUGUCACAGAUGCUCUCGGUGCCCGCUCAGAUCUCCCUUACCCCCCUACACCAUCCCAGCUGCUACAAGUGACGGCUAACAGCUGGCUCCUGUCACCUUCUCCCCAGACUCCUCCUCACCUGACUGGUUGGAGCCAAUCACCCACCUCAGGGCCUGUGUUUGAUUCCGAAUUCGAGCAAGACAAGGCAGUGUUCCCAGACAAGCUCCAGGGUGCCCCCUCCAACCAAUGUGGAACCAGGCAAGGACCACUCGGCUGGCUCUUCUCCAAAGCAGUUUCAAACCCAUCUCAGUCCCUAGCAACCAACCAACAAAGUAACAAACAAAUAAACGAAGCAGAACAAAGCAAAACAAAACAACCCUUGAUUAGCGGCACCACGUGGACAAAGGACAAACACCGUCGCACGACUCUCAAAGCUGUCCUGGUGUUUCUCAAACGUGACUUCCUGACCACGGUUAUCACACGCGUUUUGGACACUUGAAUUUUCUGGAAGGGGGCCCAGGAUCCACCUACUUGUCAGGCUUCCCAAGUGCAAACGAUGAACACUUCUGUCUCCCACCCAAGCUCGGUUUCCAGUUACUCACGGACUCACCAGCAAAAACAGUGUUUCCCAAUCUCCGAUGCUUAUUAGAAUCAUCUAGGACAUUUCUUUUUUUCAACAGCGUACCCAGGCAUCUCCAGACGAAUGGAAGAAAGCUAUCUGGGAAUGAAGUCCAGAAACCGGUAUUUGGAAUGCCCCAGGUGAAUCCCAUGGGCAGCCAGGAUGAUGAACUGCAGGUAGGACUUAAAGCUGAGCAGCUCUGAAAAGCAAAGACACAUCUGCGGUGGACCUCACCUCCAUUCCUUUGCUCAUAACUCCCUCGACCUGGAAUGUGGCUCUGCCUGGAUAGUGGCCGAGCCAGUGCCCCUUAAGACUUCGCUAAGAUAAUGGCACUAAUCCCCGGGAGCUCUCCCACACUCCCUCCCACAGACUGGGUUUGGGCCACUUUCUCUGGAGUCCUGUAACACCAAGGGCAUU
This 1117-nucleotide long non-coding RNA is filed under the name Felis catus (domestic cat). RNAcentral describes it as "lncRNA (ENSFCAG00000049533.1)". Lineage: Eukaryota; Metazoa; Chordata; Mammalia; Carnivora; Felidae. The record is from RNAcentral.